AUUGAACGCUGGCGGCAUGCCUUACACAUGCAAGUCGAACGGUAACAGGUCUUCGGAUGCUGACGAGUGGCGAACGGGUGAGUAAUACAUCGGAACGUGCCUAGUAGUGGGGGAUAACUACUCGAAAGAGUGGCUAAUACCGCAUGAGAGCUACGGAUGAAAGCAGGGGAUCGCAAGACCUUGUGCUACUAGAGCGGCCGAUGGCAGAUUAGGUAGUUGGUGGGAUAAAAGCUUACCAAGCCGACGAUCUGUAGCUGGUCUGAGAGGACGUUCAGCCACACUGGGACUGAGAAACGGCCCAGACUCCUACGGGAGGCAGCAGUGGGGAAUUUUGGACAAUGGGCGAAAGCCUGAUCCAGCAAUGCCGCGUGCAGGAUGAAGGCCUUCGGGUUGUAAACUGCUUUUGUACGGAACGAAAAGCCCCGGGUUAAUACCCUGGGGUCAUUACGGUACCGUAAGAAUAAGCACCGGCUAACUACGUGCCAGCCGCCGCCGUAA
Molecule: ribosomal RNA, 498 nt
Filed under: uncultured bacterium
Lineage: Bacteria
Description: partial 16S ribosomal RNA
Rfam family: Bacterial small subunit ribosomal RNA
Source: RNAcentral